ACCAGAGCAACUGUGUGGUUCUGUGAAGACACUAUAAAGAAUGUAUUCAGUCUGAAUACAUUGAGCCCAUCCCUGUAUGUGCCAUCGUGGGAUCGCUUUGGUUGGCUCCAGGAGCCUUCCAACAGCCCUGUGCUGAGUGCAGUGGGGCUGCCCCGUGUUGGGCAGAGAUGCGAUGAAGCAAAGCUCUGUUUGUUUUCCGGCUGAUUGCCUUAUCCUGUGUCCCAGGGCCAGGGAUUUCACCAGGAUUUGCUGUGCUGGAAGUUCAGCAGAUUCACUGCAGGUGUUUGUGCCACAGUGUGACCUCAGGACUCACAAUGCACUCCAGGCAACACAUGGAAUUAUUGGUGCUCCGAAAUGGAAAUGUCCUAUUGCAGAAGUUUGAAGCCCUGGUGUGUGAGAAGCAGUGGGCUGCAGCACCUGGCUGUGAUGUGCUCCAUGCUGUGCUCAGACCUGGAGGCACAAAGGCAAAGACCAGCCCUGGGGACGUGGUUCUGCUGCACUGAAGGGCACUGCAUGCGGACGGAUGAGAAUUGCCUUUGGAGUAAAUACUCAACAGCGAUUUCAGUUUAAAUCUGUUCAUGUGAAAUCCUUCUUGAACAGGGAGGAAAGCUGUAAUCCUUCGCAGUGCCAUUCUCUGGCUGCUGCUGAGUCGGUGUUGUGCUGUUGUUUCUGCAUUCCCAGCGGCGAGGCUUUGGGGUCGGAUCCUGUUCUCCUUGGCUGUGAGCAGCUCUAACCCACUUCUGCUUUAUAUCUUCGCAGCCAUUGCAGCAGCGAGCUUGCUGCUAUAAUUACAACAUGUAAUUUAUCUUUGGUUCUCAGAUACUUCAGCAUAAUUUCCUGGAGGGAUAACUCCGAUGAUAAUGGAUGCAUGGUUAUGAAAGUUGCGCUGCCUUGUAAUAACAGUCUAAAUGAAAGAUGGGUAGAUGUGCAGGAAUACUUAUUUUCUUUGAGAGCUUUUAUUUUUAUUGGGGGGAGAAAAGUCUUCAGAAGGAGAUUCAGUUUCAUGGCACAACUGUGGGAACCGGCCCCACACACCAAUGAGGAACUACAGCUGCUGAAUUCCUGCACCCAUGCUGACAUAGGAGAACUUCCCCCACAUAGAGCUGCUCCUUCUUGUCACAGUGUUUCUGACAAUUCAGUCUUUGAGGUUAUUACAUAGUGUUAGCCCACAGCUCUUCAGUGCUGUAGAUUGAGCCUCUUGCAAACAACCAUCACAGGGCAUCCCAGCACAGCAGCAUCCCAGGUAAUUGUGUGCUUUCUGCUAAUUGCCUUGCCCUGAUGAGCGCCAUGUGGUCAUGCCAAAGUAAUGGGUGAUGCACAGAUGCUGGAUGUGGCUGGUGGGUUGUUGUAGCAACAGCUGAUCCAGCUGUGUUGGUUUAAAAGGCAAGAUUACCUCUGCUUGUUCCCAAAUCUCUCAUAUUUGGUCUCUUAGGAUGGGCUCCCAAUGGCUUCCAG
This 1455-nucleotide long non-coding RNA is filed under the name Coturnix japonica (Japanese quail). RNAcentral's name for it is "lncRNA (ENSCJPG00005020537.1)". Lineage: Eukaryota; Metazoa; Chordata; Aves; Galliformes; Phasianidae. The record is from RNAcentral.